This is a long non-coding RNA of Manacus vitellinus (golden-collared manakin), 350 nucleotides long. RefSeq lists it as uncharacterized. Lineage: Eukaryota; Metazoa; Chordata; Aves; Passeriformes; Pipridae. The record is from RefSeq and is a predicted model, not a curated record. The transcript is spliced from 3 exons.
AAAAUUAAACUAUUAAAUGUUCCUGGCUGAAGACCAAUUCUAAUAUUUUGUAAAAUUAAAAAGUCAUAAAUCAAACAGGACCUGGGUGCUCAGCCAGGAUGUGCUUCACCCACCUCACCUGGGAACCUGGCACAGCAAUACUGCACAAACUGACUGCUUUGCACCAGUGAGUCUCUUCCAGGUCAUAGUUGGAUGAAAGAUCCACAGCAACACUGAAGUAUUUGAGAGAGAUCCUUGGAUGCAAUGGGAUCUUUAUGCUGACAGACUGAUUGCUAAUGGGAUGCUGUGUGAUGCAUGGACUGGGACACCCUAGAUCUGAAGACCUAAAAUGACAAGUGAAACAAGAUAAG